AAAAUACAUCAUAAUAAAUAAACAAAAACAAUUAAAACAAUUCAUUAAUUUCUUAAUAUGUGUAUAUGUAAAAUAACCUGCACACACCAAGUUCCUAAACCACUGUCAUCUCCAUCUCCAUCUCCAUCUCCACCAUCACCACAACCACCAUCCCACCACCACCUCAACCCUCCGGCAACCACGUGCACCACCACCAUCUUUACAACAAUCACAAUCAACCAUCAGCAUUAUAACAAACCCCAAUUUCAAAUUAGGGCUUCAAAAAAAAAAAAAAAAAAAAAAAAAAAAACCUUAUCCAAAAUUAGGGCUUUGCAAAUAAAGGAAAUUGAUGGUGGUGGUGCUUGUGUUUAGGUCUACAGAAACAAUCUGCUGACGCUCGAGCCUCCUCUUUCCUUAGAAUUCUCGAAAUCAUAUCAGAAUUGAUGCAACCUCCAGUCAUGAUCUUUGUUGAGAACGUUGUCGGAUUUGAGACUUCCGAUACACACCAAAAGAUGAUUCAGAUACUCAAUGAAAGCCAAUUUGUGACACAAGAAUUCAUAUUCCCUUGCAAUUCGGAGUAUCGUACUCGCGUCCCCGUUACUUUUGCCUGGCGAAAAGAAAACCGUCAUCUUUCUACAACCCGGAAUUCAACGGACAGCUUAUCACAAACCCCAAUUUCAAAACUAGGGGCUUCAAAAAAAACACAACCUUACCCAAAAUUGGGACUUUGCAAAUAAAGGAAACUGAUGGUGGUGGUGCACGUGAUUGCCGGAGGGUUGAGGUGGUGGUGGGAUGGUGGUGGUGGUGAUGGUGGAGAUGGAGAUGGAGAUGACAGUGGUUUAGGAACUUGGUGUGUACAGGUUAUUUUAGGCCCAUUCUAUACACACCCCCCUCCUUCCUGAUUACACCCCCUAUUGUGAGAGGAAAACUGUCGGUCCCACGCAGGCCCCACCUGUAAGUAUGUGAGAGGAGGGGGGUGAAAAAAGUAAAUAGGGGGGGGUGUAGAAAGUAGCACCCAUAUUACACAUAUUAAGAAAUUAAUGAAUUGUUUUAAUUGUUUUCGUUUAUUUAUUUUAAUGUA
Molecule: long non-coding RNA, 1060 nt
Organism: Helianthus annuus (common sunflower)
Lineage: Eukaryota; Viridiplantae; Streptophyta; Magnoliopsida; Asterales; Asteraceae
Exons: 3
Source: RefSeq, a predicted model, not a curated record